ACAGCAGCAUUGGAGACUGAAGUCUCUAUUUAUCUCCACUGUAUAGGUACAGAUCAGACAGCAACACUGCAUGCUUCCCCAGAGCCCUCCGACCACAUGUCACAGCUCUGGCCUGAAGGAACCUGUAAGGGUGAAAAAGCAGUUCUGUUUCCAUGCUGAUACAGUCCCUAGGCUUUG
This 177-nucleotide small RNA is filed under the name Chelonoidis abingdonii (Abingdon island giant tortoise). RNAcentral describes it as "TUC338 (ENSCABG00000015478.1)". The record is from RNAcentral. Lineage: Eukaryota; Metazoa; Chordata; Testudines; Testudinidae.